This is a non-coding RNA of Podarcis lilfordi (Lilford's wall lizard), 72 nucleotides long. The record is from the annotation of a GenBank genome assembly. Lineage: Eukaryota; Metazoa; Chordata; Lepidosauria; Squamata; Lacertidae.
AUCCGUAUAGCUCAUUGGGUAGAGCACGAGACUCUUAAUCUCAGGGCCAUCGUUAGAUCCCUAUUUUGGGCC